GGCCGUUCCGAGAGCCGGCGCUCCGAGUUUCGGGUAUAAAACCGGAGCCGCGCUCAUCCUCUUGCCUGAGGGCGGAUCCGAAAGAGGCGUGCGGAGGACACCGUGGGUCACCUCCCCAGGCGACGCCUCUGGCCGCCUGAGCGAUCCCCUGACUCCCAAGCGGCGGGCUCUGCCCUCACGCAUCCUCAUCCCUGGCCCUGGCGAGGAGACCGAGGAGACCGCACACUCCCGCCCGCCCCACCUGCCUGGCCAGGCGCGGCGGCCGGCGGCUCCCCCAGCUCAUUUUCUGAUAGAGCUGUCAGUUUUUAUUGCUGGUGGGAGAAAUCAUUUUCUCUCUUAGCUGCAUGUUAAUUGGCCUUAUCCUGCUCUUUCAUGCAGGGAGUGCACGCGGUCCCCUAGCCUUCUUCCCAGGCAAGGGAAAAGCCCCUUAGUAGAAAGCAUUCCAGAAAGACAAGGAAGGUGGUUCUUUGGAAACUGCUCAUUGGGAAUUGCUCAAUCAGAGAUAUUGCAUCUUCUACAAAUGGAAGGUCCAAGGCAACCCUGCGUCGAUCGAAUCUCUCAGCAUUACUUUUCUGACAGCAUUUGUUCACUUCAUGGUCCUGUGUCACAGAGAUGCUGCUAUUGCAUACUUCAUCGAGUGUAUAGUAUUGUGUAAACGUAACUUUUCUAUGCACUGGGAAGUGAAGAAAUUCCUGUGACUCCCUUUAUUCUGAUAUUCACUUUAUUGCGUUGGUCUGGAAGCAGACCCCUGCUGUCUCUGAGGUCUGCCUGUAUUCCUGAAGAAGGAGGUCCUAUCAAACACAGCAGAUUCGGGCCUUAAGCCUCGGAGACAGCCCAACCGUGGGGCCGAAAGAGACUGUGCAAGAAUGCUUAUAAUGACUCAAGGCCAAAAUGAAAGAUUCAGGCUCUCAGGAAAAUAACAAUACAUCACCAAAACAAGAAGAGGCAGAUCUGAGCCAUAUUUACAGAUGAAAUGAUAUGGUAUCUGAGUUUGCCUUCAAAAUAAUCUCAGGGUGGACAGCUGUGGGAAGGAUUGUGUGUUAAACAAGACUGGCUGUGAGUUAAUACUGCAGAGGGCACAUGAGUAAGUACAUAGGGGUUUCUUAUUCUAUGGCCUCUAAUUUUAUAUACCUCUGAAAUAGCCACAGUAAAAAUCAACAGCAGGAGUUCCCAUUUGAGGCAGCAGGUGAAGGAUCAAGCGUUGUCUCUGAGGCAGCAUGGGUCCAAUCCCCAGCCUGGUGCAGUGGGUUAAGGAUCUGGCAUUGCCAAGCUGUGGCUUG
Sus scrofa (pig) is the source of this 1280-nucleotide non-coding RNA. Lineage: Eukaryota; Metazoa; Chordata; Mammalia; Artiodactyla; Suidae. The record is from RefSeq and is a predicted model, not a curated record.